CCUACGGGAGGCAGCAGUGAGGAAUCUUCGUCAAUGGACGGAAGUCUGAACCAGCCAUGCCGCGUGCAGGAUGACGGCUCUCUGAGUUGUAAACUGCUUUUUUACAAGGGUACAUCUGAAUAAGUGUCUUUAGCCGACAGUACUGUACGUAUAAGGAUCGUCUAACUCCGGGCCAGCAGCCGCGGUAAUAAGGAGGAUGCAAGCGUUAUCCGGAAUUAUUGGGUUUAAAGGGUGCCGAGGCGGAUUGAUAAGUUAGAUGUGAAAUGGCCGAGCUUAACUCGGGAGGGGCAUCUAAUACUGUUGAUCUAGAGAGUAGAUGCGGUAGGCGGAAUGUAUGGUGUAGCGGUGAAAUGCUUAGAGAUAAGACAGAACACCGAUUGCGAAGGCAGCUUACCAAUCUAUAUCUGACGUUGAGGCGCGAAAGCGUGGGGAGCAAACAGGAUUAGAUACCCUAGUAGUC
Molecule: ribosomal RNA, 460 nt
Filed under: uncultured bacterium
Lineage: Bacteria
Description: partial 16S ribosomal RNA
Rfam family: Bacterial small subunit ribosomal RNA
Source: RNAcentral